This 479-nucleotide ribosomal RNA is filed under the name Zoogloea sp. Incheon 5. RNAcentral's name for it is "bacterial SSU rRNA". It matches the Rfam family "Bacterial small subunit ribosomal RNA", at positions 1 to 481 of the family's 1533-position model. The record is from RNAcentral. Lineage: Bacteria; Pseudomonadati; Pseudomonadota; Betaproteobacteria; Rhodocyclales; Zoogloeaceae.
GAUUGAGUUUGAUCAUGGCUCAGAUUGAACGCUGGCGGCAUGCCUUACACAUGCAAGUCGAACGGCAGCGCGGGGCAACCUGGCGGCGAGUGGCGAACGGGUGAGUAAUAUAUCGGAACGUACCCUGGAGUGGGGGAUAACGUAGCGAAAGUUACGCUAAUACCGCAUACGAUCUAAGGAUGAAAGUGGGGGAUCGCAAGACCUCAUGCUCCUGGAGCGGCCGAUAUCUGAUUAGCUAGUUGGUGGGGUAAAGGCCUACCAAGGCAUCGAUCAGUAGCUGGUCUGAGAGGACGACCAGCCACACUGGAACUGAGACACGGUCCAGACUCCUACGGGAGGCAGCAGUGGGGAAUUUUGGACAAUGGGCGCGAGCCUGAUCCAGCAAUGCCGCGUGAGUGAAGAAGGCCCUCGGGUUGUAAAGCUCUUUUGUCAGGGAAGAAACGGUGGGGGCUAAUAUCCCUUGCUAAUGACGGUACCUG